AAAUUUUUAAAACACGGAAAACAGCUACCUCUUCCUCUUUUUCCAUCAUUGUGUGUGAGAGAACCAUGGAAGAACUGUUGCCUUCUUCCUCAACAAUCGACCACCACCCGCCACCUAGACCACCAGAUCACUAUACCAUUCGAACCCCCUCAUCUUCCUCUUCAACCUCUUGUCAUUACCAGGCCACGGAGUUGCUGAAAACAGCCCCAAUCACCACCUAAAAUCGCGAUACCAAUCACGAUUUUCGCCAUUUUUCCACCACUGUCAGCCACCGUUUCGAUGGCGGACCACCACCACUCCCCUCUUCUCAACCAGACGCAUCCAGUACCACCAUGGGUCACCAGCAAUUUUGUGCAGAAUCGAGAGAGCUUGUGAAAGCAGUCCGCAAGUGCUCUAAUUUGUGUUUUUUCAAUUUUAAUUAUUAUUAUUAUUACUGGAUGUUUAGAAUACUAUUUUCGUUCCAAUGUGCUGUGAUUUGGAUAAAUGGUCACAAAAGUAUAAGAGUGCAUUUGGGUGGUUUUAGGUAUAGAGAUUUUUAGACAUUAGAGAUUAUGCCUAUAUAAAGGCACUGGUUUUAUAGUUCAAUGGCUUUCAAAGUCGAUAUAAAAUCCAUGUAUAUUCUAAAAGGGAAAUAAAAUCAGUUCUAUGUAGAUUUCAUUUAAAACUGAUUUAGCCCCCAUUUGGCUCCCAUUUUCAAGAAAUGAAAAUGGAUGGAAUAAUAUUUUUUUUGAAAAACAAAUGUUUGAAAAAGAAGUAAAAGUUUUCGAUUUAUGUGUAAUAUUAUUUUAUGAAAGAUUGUACGAUUGAAAAUAGGAGAGAAAAAUAAAAUAUAAUGAACUAUAAUUUAAUGGGGACCAAACGGGGCUUAAUAUACAUGAAAAUAUAGGCCAUAAAGUUCUUGGCUUACUUGAUCUAGGAUAAAAAAAUUUCAGGGAUAGAUACCGUAGAUUUUAGUGCUGGAUUAUGAUAAUUGAGAUUUCGCUUUGUUUUAAAAAAAGAAAAAAGAAAAAAAAAGGUUGAACCCCAAUCUUGAGGGUUCCCAUCGCCCUGUCCUUAGAGCUUUAUGAAGGAGAUAAAUCGUGGGAUGUGCCCCAACAGGUCAGGGAAUAAGAAUAGUCUGUAUAUUGUACCUACAAUGAGUCCAAUUCCACAUCUCAGGAAUUGAACCCCCAUAUUACGACUGUCAGUAAGAUAUGAAAUAACCUAACUCUUGCCCUUUGCACCAUUGGACUAUGUCCCGAGAGGCGAGAUUUUGCUUUGUUAUUAUUUAUAGAACAUGGUGAAAGAGCCUCAUUUAUAAUUCUUUUUCUGAACUUGCUUUGCACAACAGAUUAGUAGGUACGUCUCUGACUCACAAUACUAUCUCCAAGUCAAUUAUCCAUAAAUAAGGAAUAAAUUGAAGGUUGUUCUCUUCUCAAUUCUGCAGAGAGUAAGAAUUUUUUCCUCUUGCUAUCUUCCACUUGUUCCCUACUGCUUCUAUAUGGCACAACAUUCUUUUAGAAGUAGUUCUCUAACUCUACUAUUUUCCUUUAAGGACAUUGGACGAGAAUCACAGAGCCACUGGGUGGCAGGCAUUCCUACAAAUCCCCCAUUUACGAUAUUAAUGCACCAGACUUGUAUAUUCUACUCAUGGCAUUUGGUACCUAUGUUGUUCUUGUCGGCUUAACUCUGGGUUUGAAUGGAAAGUAAGCUUGUGGAACCAAUCUUGUAUUUGUUUGAACACUCUUAUUGGUUGCCUCUGAAGCUUUUUGCUUGGGGUUUUUGCCUUUUUUGGAACAUACGAAUGGCACUCUAGAGAAUGAAAUUAUAAUGCUUUCCAGGUUCAGCCCAGAAGCUCCGAACUGGCUGUUUGUCAAGGGGAUGGUGGGCUGGUUUUUGCAAGUCAUACUGCUGAAAAUGUCAUUAUUUUCAUUGGGUGGUUGAGAGGCACCUUUGCUCGAGAUCGUGGCAUAUGCUGGAUACACUUUACUUUUAUAGGAUUGUCUCUGGCCUUCUCGCGACGAAUUUUCUCGAGCUAUCCAAAAAGCCAAAGAAAUCCAUGUAUACAUGUUGUGUCUGUUAAAGUGCUACAACACUUCACUACAUAUUUUUUGCGCUUGAAGUAGGAAGUUCCCCCUUUGAUGUGCCAGAACUACUGGCAUGUUUAGUAAGGCAGUCUAGCCCAUUUCUGGGUCAAAUUGACAUUUAUAAAGGUAUGUGGUUGAUUAUGGUGAAGUUCUGUUCUUAGUAAACUAUCAUUCCAGCAAUGUAUGUCUAUUUUAAGUUGUCGAACAAAAUCUUGUGCUCAACAAAGAAAGAUAAAGUUGAAUUGAAGUAAUUUAAUCUUUGUUUCUUAAGUUUCCACGAGCAGCCUUUGAAUUGAUAACUAUGACUAUAAUAUCUUAUAACGGCAU
This 2393-nucleotide long non-coding RNA is filed under the name Olea europaea subsp. europaea. Lineage: Eukaryota; Viridiplantae; Streptophyta; Magnoliopsida; Lamiales; Oleaceae. The record is from RNAcentral.